RNAcentral lists this ribosomal RNA (253 nucleotides) under uncultured bacterium. RNAcentral describes it as "partial 16S ribosomal RNA". It matches the Rfam family "Bacterial small subunit ribosomal RNA", at positions 524 to 776 of the family's 1533-position model. The record is from RNAcentral.
UACGUAGGGGCCAAGCGUUACCCGGAUUUACUGGGCGUAAAGGGCGUGUAGGUGGCUGCGUAAGUUUGCUGUGAAAUCUUUCGGCUCAACCGGGAGAGGUCAGCGAAUACUGCGCGGCUUGAGGGCAGCAGAGGAAGGUGGAAUUCCCGGUGUAGCGGUGAAGUGCGUAGAUAUCGGGAGGAACACCAGUGGCGAAGGCGGCCUUCUGGGCUGUCCCUGACACUGAGGCGCGAAAGCGUGGGGAGCAAACCGG